Molecule: ribosomal RNA, 608 nt
Filed under: uncultured fungus
Lineage: Eukaryota; Fungi
Description: eukaryotic LSU rRNA
Rfam family: 5.8S ribosomal RNA (bases 197-348)
Source: RNAcentral
CUUGGUCAUUUAGAGGAAGUAACGGUUGUAACAAGGUUUCCGUAGGUGAUCCUGCGGAAGGAUCAUUAACAAAUCCUGCUGCGGUGCCCCUCUGGGGGUGCUGUAGUAUAUUAACUCGGUCCAGGCUGGAAGGCUUGGGCUGACAAAUUAAUGUGUGUAAUGUUGACAAUGUGUGUGUGAUUAAUAAUUAGUAGACAACUUUUAACAAUGGAUCUCUAGGCUCUUGCAGCGAUGAAGAACGCAGUAAAGUGCGAAAAGUGAUGCGAUUUGCAUGAAUCUGUGAGUCAUCUAGUUUUUGAACGCGAAUGGCACUCUUGUGUAAGCAGGAGUAUGUCUGUUUGAGAAUCCCAAAACCGAUCAACACCUGUGGGGGUUGGCAUUGGCGUUCCGUGCAGCGAUGUGCGGUUUGCUGGAAUGGACUCAGGUUGAUGGGCUCCGGCUGAGCUCCAAAUGUGCUAAAAGACUGUGGUCUUUCGUCGUUUGGGUGCGCAGCUGCAAGGCUCUAGUUGACGACCUUUACAUAGUAUCAUCUAUGUAUCUAUUAUCUAAUAGGAACUCAAAUCAGGCAAGAUUACCCGCUGAACUUAAGCAUAUCAAUAAGCGGAGGA